RNAcentral lists this ribosomal RNA (806 nucleotides) under uncultured bacterium. RNAcentral's name for it is "bacterial SSU rRNA". It matches the Rfam family "Bacterial small subunit ribosomal RNA", at positions 60 to 854 of the family's 1533-position model. The record is from RNAcentral.
AGUCGAACGGCAGCACGGAGAGCUUGCUCUCUGGUGGCGAGUGGCGAACGGGUGAGUAAUAUAUCGGAACGUGUCCAAUAAUGGGGGAUAACGAGUCGAAAGAUUCGCUAAUACCGCAUACGCCCUACGGGGGAAAGCAGGGGAUCGUAAGACCUUGCGUUAAUGGAGCGGCCGAUAUCUGAUUAGCUUGUUGGUGAGGUAAAGGCUCACCAAGGCGACGAUCAGUAGCUGGUUUGAGAGAACGACCAGCCACACUGGAACUGAGACACGGUCCAGACUCCUACGGGAGGCAGCAGUGGGGAAUUUUGGACAAUGGGGGCAACCCUGAUCCAGCCAUUCCGCGUGAGUGAAGAAGGCCUUCGGGUUGUAAAGCUCUUUCGCGAGGGAAGAAAACUUAUGAUCGAAUAAAUCAUGAGGUUGACGGUACCUUGAUAAGAAGCACCGGCUAACUACGUGCCAGCAGCCGCGGUAAUACGUAGGGUGCGAGCGUUAAUCGGAAUUACUGGGCGUAAAGCGUGCGCAGGCGGUUUUGUAAGUCGGAUGUGAAAUCCCCCGGGCUCAACCUGGGAACUGCGUUCGAAACUGCAAGGCUAGAGUGUGUCAGAGGGGGGUAGAAUUCCACGUGUAGCAGUGAAAUGCGUAGAGAUGUGGAGGAAUACCAAUGGCGAAAGGCAGCCCCCUGGGAUAACACUGACGCUCAUGCACGAAAGCGUGGGGAGCAAACAGGAUUAGAUACCCUGGUAGUCCACGCCCUAAACGAUGUCAACUAGUUGUUGGUAGAGUAAAAUCUAUGAGUAACGUAGCUA